Molecule: ribosomal RNA, 451 nt
Filed under: uncultured prokaryote
Description: bacterial SSU rRNA
Rfam family: Bacterial small subunit ribosomal RNA
Source: RNAcentral
CGAACGGUAACAGCAGGGGCUUGCUCCUGGCUGACGAGUGGCGGACGGGUGCGUAACGCGUAGGAAUCUGCCUAUUAGUGGGGGACAACAUGGUGAAAACCAUGCUAAUACCGCAUACGCCCUACGGGGGAAAGCGGGGGAUCUUCGGACCUCGCGCUAAUAGAUGAGCCUGCGUUAGAUUAGCUAGUUGGUGGGGUAAAGGCUCACCAAGGCGACGAUCUAUAGCUGGUCUGAGAGGACGAUCAGCCACACUGGGACUGAGACACGGCCCAGACUCCUACGGGAGGCAGCAGUGGGGAAUAUUGGACAAUGGGCGGAAGCCUGAUCCAGCAAUACCGCGUGUGUGAAGAAGGCCUGAGGGUUGUAAAGCACUUUCAAUUGGGAGGAAAACAGGCAGGUUAAUAUCCUGCCUCUUGACAUUACCUUUAGAAGAGCACCGCUACUCCGUGCC